This 505-nucleotide ribosomal RNA is filed under the name uncultured soil bacterium. Its description in RNAcentral is "bacterial SSU rRNA". It matches the Rfam family "Bacterial small subunit ribosomal RNA", at positions 8 to 487 of the family's 1533-position model. The record is from RNAcentral.
AGAGUUUGAUCCUGGCUCAGAACGAACGCUGGCGGCGUGGAUAAGACAUGCAAGUCGAGCGAUGAUUACAGGGUAGCAAUAUUCUGUAGUUGGAGCGGCGCAAGGGUGCGUAACACGUGGGUAAUCUGCCAUGAAGCCCGGGAUAACUCGCUGAAAGGCGAGCUAAUACCGGAUGUGAAAAUUAGGAGGCAUCUUCCGAUUUUCAAAGCUGGGGACCGUAAGGCCUGGCGCUUCAUGAUGAGCCCGCGGCCUAUCAGCUAGUUGGUGAGGUAACGGCUCACCAAGGCUAAGACGGGUAGCUGGUCUGAGAGGACGACCAGCCACACUGGAACUGAGACACGGUCCAGACACCUACGGGUGGCAGCAGUCGAGAAUUUUUCACAAUGGGGGAAACCCUGAUGGAGCGACGCCGCGUGGGGGAUGAAUGGCUUCGGCCCGUAAACCCCUGUCAUUUGCGAACAAAUUGGUUCAAUUAAUAGCUGAACCAUUGAUAGAGCGAAAGAGA